CACUAUCGUUAACUGAAUACAUAGGUUAACGAGGCGAACCGGGGGAACUGAAACAUCUAAGUACCCCGAGGAAAAGAAAUCAACCGAGAUUCCCCCAGUAGCGGCGAGCGAACGGGGAGCAGCCCAGAGUCUGAAUCAGCUUGUGUGUUAGUGGAACGGUCUGGAAAGUCCGACGGUACAGGGUGAUAGUCCCGUACACCAAAAUGCACAGGCUGUGAACUCGAAGAGUAGGGCGGGACACGUGGUAUCCUGUCUGAAUAUGGGGGGACCAUCCUCCAAGGCUAAAUACUCCUGACUGACCGAUAGUGAACCAGUACCGUGAGGGAAAGGCGAAAAGAACCCCGGCGAGGGGAGUGAAAAAGAACCUGAAACCGUGUACGUACAAGCAGUGGGAGCACCUUCGGGUGUGACUGCGUACCUUUUGUAUAAUGGGUCAGCGACUUAUAUUCUGUAGCAAGGUUAACCGUAUAGGGGAGCCGCAGGGAAACCGAGUCUUAACUGGGCGUUAAGUUGCAGGGUAUAGACCCGAAACCCGGUGAUCUAGCCAUGGGCAGGUUGAAGGUUGGGUAACACUAACUGGAGGACCGAACCGACUAAUGUUGAAAAAUUAGCGGAUGACUUGUGGCUGGGGGUGAAAGGCCAAUCAAACCGGGAGAUAGCUGGUUCUCCCCGAAAGCUAUUUAGGUAGCGCCUCGUGAACUCAUCUUCGGGGGUAGAGCACUGUUUCGGCUAGGGGGUCAUCCCGACUUACCAACCCGAUGCAAACUACGAAUACCGAAGAAUGUUAUCACGGGAGACACACGGCGGGUGCUAACGUCCGUCGUGAAGAGGGAAACAACCCAGACCGCCAGCUAAGGUCCCAAAGUCAUGGUUAAGUGGGAAACGAUGUGGGAAGGCACAGACAGCCAGGAUGUUGGCUUAGAAGCAGCCAUCAUUUAAAGAAAGCGUAAUAGCUCACUGGUCGAGUCGGCCUGCGCGGAAGAUGUAACGGGGCUAAACCAUGCACCGAAGCUGCGGCAGCGACACUAUGUGUUGUUGGGUAGGGGAGCGUUCUGUAAGCCUGCGAAGGUGUGCUGUGAGGCAUGCUGGAGGUAUCAGAAGUGCGAAUGCUGACAUAAGUAACGAUAAAGCGGGUGAAAAGCCCGCUCGCCGGAAGACCAAGGGUUCCUGUCCAACGUUAAUCGGGGCAGGGUGAGUCGACCCCUAAGGCGAGGCCGAAAGGCGUAGUCGAUGGGAAACAGGUUAAUAUUCCUGUACUUGGUGUUACUGCGAAGGGGGGACGGAGAAGGCUAUGUUAGCCGGGCGACGGUUGUCCCGGUUUAAGCAUGUAGGCUGGUUGUCCAGGCAAAUCCGGAUAAUCAAGGCUGAGGUGUGAUGACGAGGCACUACGGUGCUGAAGUAACAAAUGCCCUGCUUCCAGGAAAAGCCUCUAAGCAUCAGGUAACAUUAAAUCGUACCCCAAACCGACACAGGUGGUCAGGUAGAGAAUACCAAGGCGCUUGAGAGAACUCGGGUGAAGGAACUAGGCAAAAUGGUGCCGUAACUUCGGGAGAAGGCACGCUGGUGUGUAGGUGAAGCCCCUGCGGGUGGAGCUGAGACCAGUCGAAGAUACCAGCUGGCUGCAACUGUUUAUUAAAAACACAGCACUGUGCAAACACGAAAGUGGACGUAUACGGUGUGACGCCUGCCCGGUGCCGGAAGGUUAAUUGAUGGGGUUAUCCGUAAGGAGAAGCUCUUGAUCGAAGCCCCGGUAAACGGCGGCCGUAACUAUAACGGUCCUAAGGUAGCGAAAUUCCUUGUCGGGUAAGUUCCGACCUGCACGAAUGGCGUAAUGAUGGCCAGGCUGUCUCCACCCGAGACUCAGUGAAAUUGAACUCGCUGUGAAGAUGCAGUGUACCCGCGGCAAGACGGAAAGACCCCGUGAACCUUUACUAUAGCUUGACACUGAACAUUGAGCCUUGAUGUGUAGGAUAGGUGGGAGGCUUUGAAGCGUGGACGCCAGUCUGCGUGGAGCCAACCUUGAAAUACCACCCUUUAAUGUUUGAUGUUCUAACGUUGGCCCCUGACCGGGGUUGCGGACAGUGUCUGGUGGGUAGUUUGACUGGGGCGGUCUCCUCCCAAAGCGUAACGGAGGAGCACGAAGGUUAGCUAAUCCUGGUCGGACAUCAGGAGGUUAGUGCAAUGGCAUAAGCUAGCUUGACUGCGAGCGUGACGGCGCGAGCAGGUGCGAAAGCAGGUCAUAGUGAUCCGGUGGUUCUGAAUGGAAGGGCCAUCGCUCAACGGAUAAAAGGUACUCCGGGGAUAACAGGCUGAUACCGCCCAAGAGUUCAUAUCGACGGCGGUGUUUGGCACCUCGAUGUCGGCUCAUCACAUCCUGGGGCUGAAGUAGGUCCCAAGGGUAUGGCUGUUCGCCAUUUAAAGUGGUACGCGAGCUGGGUUUAGAACGUCGUGAGACAGUUCGGUCCCUAUCUGCCGUGGGCGCUGGAGAAUUGAGGGGGGCUGCUCCUAGUACGAGAGGACCGGAGUGGACGCAUCACUGGUGUUCGGGUUGUCAUGCCAAUGGCACUGCCCGGUAGCUAAAUGCGGAAGAGAUAAGUGCUGAAAGCAUCUAAGCACGAAACUUGCCCCGAGAUGAGUUCUCCCUGAGACUUUAAGUCUCCUGAAGGAACGUU
This 2672-nucleotide ribosomal RNA is filed under the name Klebsiella pneumoniae. RNAcentral describes it as "bacterial LSU rRNA". It matches the Rfam family "Bacterial large subunit ribosomal RNA". Lineage: Bacteria; Pseudomonadati; Pseudomonadota; Gammaproteobacteria; Enterobacterales; Enterobacteriaceae. The record is from RNAcentral.